AUGGAAUCCGAAAUGUGUUUUUGUAUUAUUAUCAAAAGGAAAUCAGUUUGUUGAAAAUGUAGUAAAAAAAUAUGGUUCUAUCGAAUUAGGUAGCUACAGCAAUAUACAAAGUGAAGAUUGUUCAUUUAUGUACGAGUUAUUACAAUUUCAUUUUAAUUCAUUGUCGAA
Molecule: long non-coding RNA, 168 nt
Organism: Aphis gossypii (cotton aphid)
Lineage: Eukaryota; Metazoa; Arthropoda; Insecta; Hemiptera; Aphididae
Exons: 3
Source: RefSeq, a predicted model, not a curated record